GCGCUUGCUUUGACAGUACAUAUACUAAAACUAGAACAAUAUAGAGAAGAUUAGUAUGGCCCCUGUGCAAUGAUGACAUGCAAAUUCAUGAAGCAUUUCAUCUUUUU
Small nuclear RNA from Piliocolobus tephrosceles (Ugandan red Colobus), 107 nucleotides. Lineage: Eukaryota; Metazoa; Chordata; Mammalia; Primates; Cercopithecidae. The record is from Ensembl.